GUACCCCCAUUCCCGAAAAUGUGUAAUAAAUCUAUCACUUUCAUUUACUUUAUUAUAUCAGUUGAUUGUUAAUUCAAAGAUAAAAAUCAACCUUUUUUUAGAAAAGAACAAUAAAAAACAAAUACUCGAUCCAACGUCGAGAAAUUUUCACACAAAAAAUUAUAACCAUUUUCAUAUCCACUUCUCCGUCAUUUUUAAAACUUUCAAAUCAUGCCAUUCUAUUUCGAUUCAAACGCAAAGAAUAAAAACCUCGAUCCAACAUCGAGUGUCUUUUCCCAAAUCAAAUCCAAAAUACUUAAUCACAAUUAAAC
RNAcentral lists this long non-coding RNA (311 nucleotides) under Lathyrus oleraceus (garden pea). Its description in RNAcentral is "Pisum sativum (pea) long non-coding RNA (PSAT_LNC012628)". Lineage: Eukaryota; Viridiplantae; Streptophyta; Magnoliopsida; Fabales; Fabaceae. The record is from RNAcentral.